GCACCAAUGGUGUAGGGGUAGCAUGAGUGAUUCCCAUUCACUCGACCCGGGUUCGAAUCCCGGUUGGUGCA
Bolinopsis microptera is the source of this 71-nucleotide non-coding RNA. The record is from the annotation of a RefSeq genome assembly. Lineage: Eukaryota; Metazoa; Ctenophora; Tentaculata; Lobata; Bolinopsidae.